This 631-nucleotide unclassified non-coding RNA is filed under the name Hevea brasiliensis (rubber tree). The record is from RNAcentral. Lineage: Eukaryota; Viridiplantae; Streptophyta; Magnoliopsida; Malpighiales; Euphorbiaceae.
CUUCUUCUUCUUCUUCUUUGCCUUCUUCAAGCUCUUUAUCUUCCUACUUAUCUUUCCCAGUCCCUACUUUUCUUGAGCAUUGCUUUCUUUGUGGGCAGAAACUCUUGGCUGGCAAGGAUAUCUACAUGUACAAGUAAGCAAUACAUAGCAAACAAAUAUUCUACUGUUUCUAAUUUUCUUCCAUUUUUGUGUUUUCUUUAAAUACCCAGAUCUUAUAUGGCAGAUAUUUGGCGAAUUAGCACUACGUUCUCGCUUGCUAAUCUUCAAAAGACGGAUCUUUCUUUUGUUUUCAUGUUUUUCCUGUGAUUUUAUGUUAUUCAUAGUGAGCUUUAAUGGCACUGUGUUAAUAUUUCUUAUAAAAGCUUGAUUUGGGUGGUUAUCUUCUUACAUGCAGAGGAGACAGAGCUUUUUGUAGCGUCGAGUGCAGGUGUAGGCAGAUAUUUAUGGACGAGGAGGAAAACCUGAGGAAAGAGAACUGUUCAGUGGCAGCCAGUAAACCAACUUCUGCAUCUUCCUCUUCAUCAUCAUCUUCAUCUCCUGCUUCUCGUCACCGCAAAAGCACAAGAAACCGAGCGGGUGGUUUUGCAUAUUGAGAGAGAGAGAGAGGGAACUGAAGCUCUUCUUUUUUUUU